CAAAAGGGGGGGCCAAAAACCACAACGGAAGACAACAAGAAUACAAAGACCCGACACACGCACACCCACACACAGACAGACAGACACCCAAACAAACGAAGAGCAAGAGAUGGGAUGAAGAUGGGACUGCGGAGUGUGAGGACGGACAGGCUGGCAGAUACCAAUUAUAACGGAGGGGGUCACGUUUUCUGAAUCGUGCAUGCUGCAUCACCGCCCCACCCCAGCACAUACACCCACCGCUGCCCUUCACUGUGCGCCGAACAGCCGGAGUGAGAUACAGACCACCAUCUUAGAAAGCUGGCAUGAAAUGGUCGAGCUUUCACGCAGGUCUUCUGCAAAGGGGAGGAGAGGGAUGAGAUAAUGGAAUGAAAAACGAGAGAGAGAGAGAGAGAGAGAGAGAGAGAGAGAGAGAGAGAGAGAGAGAGAGAGAGAGACAGAUCACACCUUGCCCAGAUCAUCACCGCUCUCUGAGGAAGGAGACCUGGAGUUUUAGCUGGUGUCUGAUCCACUUUGAAGACCCUGCCAGUUUCUUUCAUCCAGACUUGCCUACAUUGACAGAACAGGGGAUUGGGGUGGAAGGGGGUGGGGCACAGAAUCACACUGCCCUGCACUAAGCUUUGCCCCAUGGCUUGAAUCAGUAUGACUUGGACUUGAGAUUCAGUGUGACUUUAUUCAGAAGAACUUGGGCUUGUAUAUACACUGUAAUCUGCUUCGAAUCGUCAAGGAUUUUGAGUUUGAAUCAACGUGGAUUUGGAUCCAGAAUCAUCAUCAUCAUCAUCAUCAUGCAAAGACAAUGGCUUUUCAAAGCAGGAAAUCACUGGACUGGAAAACAGGAGGAAAUGCGCCUGACUGCUUUUUGAUUUCAUCUGUAGUGAAGCAGGGUUUUGAAAUGGGAUGGCAUCUUGAAGGUCUUAAGCUGAAGGGAACACGAAGCCACCACUCUGAGGCUUGGAGCUUCAGGUUUCAGGAGACUGUAGGUUUCAGGCCACUGCGCGGCACACCAGGCAGGGAGACUUGGGGGGUUUUGAUACAGCAAACCUCAAACUAGGUCUCCCGGGGGUCUCCUGGAACCAGCUUUCAAGCUCUUGAAAAAUUGGCUUUGUGUUCCUUCAGCUUCAGGGUUUGGUUAAUCUACAAAACACUCCAAAAGAUUUUUAAAAAAUCUGAGGGCAACCAACACCCACAUGCAGCAUUAUCUACAAAUUACAAAAACAAAACAAACUUUGAUAAAUCGUAUGUUUUAAAAUGUGACAAUACUGUACUUUGCACGAAAUUAACACACGGGUAGACUUCUGGAAUUGCGCAGAAUGAAGUCCCAGAUAUAUACCCCACGCGCAUCGAAACCACGCGACUGCAUUCACGUCAUUCUCCCGUUUUAAAAUACGCAGCGACCCCCCGUAUUAUUUGGGUAGAGUGCAUCGGGUCGUAUCCGAUAGGAUAUUUCAGUAUCACCCAUAAAUAAAAAAAAAACCUUCUUGCCGAGAUUAAAGCAGAUUACGUCAGUAGUGAAGUUUACACGGAUUUAAGUAAUAUAAAGGUUUGCUUCUAGAUAAGAACUGCACUGUAUCGGACAGCUACAGGAGUGCCUGCAACACGGAAAGCAAUGCCUUAGCUGGUUUACUUUAUUUUCUAUGCAAUUAAGUAGCUAUGCAAUCAGCAGAAGUAGUUUUGUGCGGUCUGUAAGUUUUUGAACCUAUUAUGUAGCAAACAUUAGGGGUCCAGUGGUUAAAGAAAGGGUCUUGAUACCAGGAGGUUCAAAUCCCGGCUCAGCCACUGACUCCCUGUGUGUGUGUGCGUGUGUGUGUGUGUGUGUGUGUGUGAGACCCUGAGCAAGUCACUGAACCUCCUUGUGCUCCGUCCUUCGGAUGAGACGUAAAACAAACGAGGUCCUAUUGGAAGUGACUCUGCAGCAGCAGGAGCAGUUGUUGAUGAUGCAUAGUUCACCCUCCUGGUCUCUGUAAGUCGCUUUGGAUAAAAGCGUCUGCUAAAUGACUCAUUAAUAAUAAUGUUUAGAGAAUCACUUUAACAGGUCAGUUCUGCUUCACACACAAACUAAAAAUCAGACACAGCUUAAAGGCUUGUCUUUACAUUCAUUCUGCAGCUCUAUACACACACACGCACACGCACGCACACACACACACGCACGCACACACACACACACACACACGCACACACACACACACACACACAGAGAACAAUGGCACUUAACAGAUUAAGGAAUCAUCUUCAUUUGCUUAUUGAGGAAUUAGCACUUCCAGAAUACUGCACUCAAAAGCCAUCUCGUUUGGACUAUUAGAAAUCAGAGUCCAAACUGUACGCUUUAAUGUUUUCAUAGAUAGAUAGAUAGAUAGAUAGAUAGAUAGAUAGAUAGAUAGAUAGAUAGAGAUUUGUAUUAUUUCUCUGAUCACAGUUGAUGUCUUUCUAUGCAUUUAAAUGGGAGCUUUUUUUUAAACAGAAGAAAAUGUGAUUAUUUAAAAAGUAUAUUUUAUAUGUGUGUUUGUUUGUUUGUUUCUGACAGCUAUGAGCCUGAAUUUUCAGGUACAGAGCAGUGGCAAUAAAUAUUCACUCAGCCCCCUUUAUUAUUAUCGAAGGGUUUGCACUCUCUCUCUCUCUCUCUCACCCUUUGCACAGCACUGCUUUUGACAAUCUUGUAAACCACCAUAAUUGCCUUUUUAUUAUGAAAUGACCAAUAAAGUUUUUAAAAAUGUA
This is a long non-coding RNA of Acipenser ruthenus (sterlet), 2709 nucleotides long. RefSeq lists it as uncharacterized. The transcript is spliced from 3 exons. Lineage: Eukaryota; Metazoa; Chordata; Actinopteri; Acipenseriformes; Acipenseridae. The record is from RefSeq and is a predicted model, not a curated record.